GAUGAAGAACGUAGCGAAAUGCGAUAAGUAAUGUGAAUUGCAGAAUUAAGUGAAUCAUCGAAUCUUUGAACGCACCUUGCGCUCUUUGGUAUUCCGAAGAGCAUGCCUGUUUGAGUGUCAUGAAAAUAUCAACCUUGACUUGGGUUUUGUGCUCUAGUCUCGGCUUGGAAUUGGGUGCUUGCCGCUUUUACGAGCGGCUCACCUUAAAUGUAUUAGCUGGAUCUGUCUUUGAGACUUGGUUUGACUUGGCGUAAUAAGUAUUUCGCUAAGGACAUUCUUCGGAGUGGCCUCGUUUCUAGGACGCUUGUCCGCUUUCCAAUACAAGUUCCACCUCGUGGACAUGACUUUUUAUUAUCUGGCCUCAAAUCAGGUAGGACUACCCGCUGAACUUAAGCAUAUCAAUAAGCGGAGGA
RNAcentral lists this unclassified non-coding RNA (413 nucleotides) under soil metagenome. RNAcentral's name for it is "partial contains 5.8S ribosomal RNA, internal transcribed spacer 2, and large subunit ribosomal RNA". The stretch from base 1 to 120 matches the Rfam family "5.8S ribosomal RNA", at positions 35 to 154 of the family's 154-position model. The record is from RNAcentral.